UCAAGAAACUUCCACAAUGGGCGAAAGCCUGAUGGAGCGACGUCGCGUGAUGGACGAAGUGCUUCGGCACGUAAACAUCUUUUUAUGUGGGAUGAAAUUAUUGACAGUACCACAUGAAUAAGGGGCUCCUAACUCUGUGCCAGCAGGAGCGGUAAUACAGAGGCCCCAAGCGUUAUCCGGAAUCACUGGGCGUAAAGGGUGUCGAGGCGGUUGUAUUAGUCGUUCGUAAAAUCUACGAGCUUAACUUGUAGGCGGCGAACGAAACGGUACGACUUGAGGUUUGGAGAGGUGCGUGGAACUCACGGUGUAGGGGUGAAAUCCGUUGAUAUCGUGGGGAACACCAAAGGCGAAGGCAGCGCACUGGCCAAAAUCUGACGCUCACACACGAAAGCUAGGGUAGCGAAGAGGAUUAGAUACCCUAGUAGUCCCUGAGCGGGCUGGCAAGGCGCAU
Molecule: ribosomal RNA, 451 nt
Filed under: uncultured bacterium
Lineage: Bacteria
Description: bacterial SSU rRNA
Rfam family: Bacterial small subunit ribosomal RNA
Source: RNAcentral